CAUAGCAGUUUUCAGUAUAUAAAAGCAUAUUUACAGGUUGUUAGAUAUCACUCGUUUUAAAUUCAGUGCACAAUCAAAUACAUUGUGUGCACUGAAAACAGGAACACUAUACAUAACUGCAAGUGGGUUGAUUAAAGAGUUUUCAUUUAAAAAUCAGUAUGGGACACUACAUUUGAAAAAUGAAAAAGUAGUAAUCAUUUAAGUAGUAAGGCACAUUGCUGUUAUUGUUCUUCUAGUGCAAACUAAAGCAAUGAAUCUAUUUGUAACCACAGAAUUGAAUUAUAUAAAUUAUUCUUGCAGUAAGACUUGCAUAGAUGGCCUGCAUUAGAAUAGUGUCAGAAGACCUUAUGGGAUUUGCAACAAUAAUAUUAAUUUUUGUUUCACUUUGGAUGAAAUUAAGGCGUAACUUUACACAUAUGUGAUUCAUACAUUUGUGAAACUGAGCUCGCAUCUCUGUUAUAAACUGUCACACCAUAAAGUCACUUGUAUGUACCCUGGAAAGCCUGGAUGCGCAUGCUCAGACAUGGCAGCUGCCUGUGAGAAGCCCCUCAGAGCCUACAGUUAUGAACAUUUAGCCAAAUAAAAGUCGAGUUAACUGAUUUGACUGCUGCGGAGUUUCGCUGCCAGAGGCACGAUGGAGUAAACAGUUGGCAGCGGGGACAUUUGGGAGCUGGUCUGGAUGGAAGCGACGGGUUUACGAGACGUUUUCAAAUGUAUAACGCUAUCCAUUGCAGCAAUGGAGGAUAUUGGUCUCCUUCCCAAACCCACCCACGAAACCCCAGUCCACAGACCCACAGUCCCUGACACUUUUGGGCAGCAUCACAUCCCCCCAGACCACCUGCAUGUCGGUGAUGCAAGCAGGAACUCUGACGUGGACAAAGAUGGAGUGGUUAAAAAAUGGUCCCACUCAAUGACAAUAGGUGAGCAGCAGAUGAUCUCCCAAUUUCCUGUACAUCACCAAGCACCUGUGGGUGCUGACACUCCACAUCUUAAUUUGGAUAAAGUAGGCGCUGUCAGAAAAAUAACCAAAGCCAAAGUUGCAGAUCCAUUAAAGUGGAAGCAAAACAAGCAGAAACAGCUGAGGAUGGAGGGAAAAUUAUAUGUAAGCAAACGCAAGAAAGAUGGUGAGAUUGUAACCAAACACCCAAGAGCCAUAGGACCAAGAUGCACUUCGGAUGCAUGCAAAAAAACGACAAAUCGGCUAUGUGGUGAAAUUACUGAAGAAACAAGGAAGAAGGUGUUCAAUGAAUUUUGGCAGCACAUGAACUGGGCUCAGAGAAAGCUCUAUGUAGCAGGACAAGUCGACCGUGACCCUGUGGAAAGAUCUCGGGCUGCGGGGUUGCCUUCAAGGAGAUCGGUGUCACUUCGUUAUCAUUUGAUGGUGGAUGGCAAACGGACACAAGUAUGUAAGAACAUGUUCCUGUCCACGCUUGGGAUUGGAGAGUGGUCUGUGCUCAACUGGGCACAUAGAACAGCAACAGAAAAGACUGAAUCAAACAAAAGCAAGUCAGAAAAAAAGCCAGUUGUGACUGGCCCUCCUGUAGACAGCAACACUGCAUUAGUUACUCAAGAACACAUGAAUGCAACUGACAAAGACAAAAACAGGCCACCAGAAACAGAGGGGGCAAUCCGAAAGAAAUCCAGAGUUGCUAAACCACUAACAUGGAAACAAAAUCGUCAGAAGCAACUCAGGAUGGAGGGAAAACCAUACACCAGCAAGAGAAAGAAAGAUGGCGCCACUAUUACUAAAGCUCAGAGGUCAAUGGGGCCAAGAUGCACAUCCAGUGCCUGCAAAAGGGCAUCGAACCGUUUUUGUGCUGACUUUAGUGAGGAAAAGCGGAAUGAGCUGUUCACUGGUUUCUGGCAGUGUAUGAACUGGACUCAGAGGAAGGUCUAUGUGGCUGGGCUUGUGGACUGUGAUCCGGUGGAAAGAACCCGUGCACCGUGGACUCAGUCUAGAAGAUCAGUCUCAAUGCGAUAUCAUUUGAUAGCAGAUGGCGAUAAAAAACAAGUUUGCAAAAAAAUGUUCCUCUCCACUUUGGGGAUUGGAGAGUGGUCAGUGCUUAACUGGGCCCAGAAUGCCUCCCAGCUAGACAAUUUGGAGGAGAACAGUAAAAAGCGAAUGCAGAGGAAAUCCCGUAAAGCUUCAGAGCAUAUAGUCCUGAAGGAGUUUCUAGAAAGUUUACCAAAAGUGUCAUCUUACUGUGGUGGAACGUCCAUCUCUAAGCUCUGUCUGGAGCCAGUCUUCUCAAACAUGUCCGAGGUCUACAGGUACUACUAUAGCCACUGCAUAGAGCAGAAGACAGCGCCGCUUUCACGCCAGGUUUUCUGUGCUGUGUUUAAAAAAAUGAAUUUAAGAUUGUGUGACUCCAAAAAGGACCAAUCUUGUUCUUUUGGUGGAACUGGAAACUUGUUUAAUGAGCUUUGGGAGGAAUGCUGCUUUGAAAGAGGAGCUCCAGGGCAACAACCUGAGAGAGUCGGUGACCCGUAGACCAAUGUUGGUGCUUGUUACCAUGUUAAUACCAACUUUGUAUUAUACACCGUUUGUUUGAGACUUGAUGGCGGAUCCUUCUUUUAUAUUUGCACUUCUUGAAGCAGUGUAGUUGUCUUGCUGUAGCUGAAACAAUUUAAGCACUACGUUCAUUUUGAGGCCUCCGAUUGUUUCAUGUUAUUCGGAGCAUCAUUUGGCAAACCAAACCAAAACUGCUAUUCUAUCGUUUCGAUAUGUAUGAUGUAAAAGGUCAAAGUCAACUCAAGUGUCAAAGUUGAUAUUUUCCUUUGUGAAUUAAAUGUGAACAGCUACCAGAAGCACUUUACAGAAUUCUUUCAAAGGCAGAGCAGUCACAGUCAAGUUGUUAGGACUCCGCAGAUGUGUGUGUAUGUGUGAAAUCAUCAAAUUCAAACCAAGCUGUCUCGUCACGCCCUGCAGCUUUUUGCACAAUAUGAAGUAACGGCUCUCCCAGCAGCUCCCUGAGUCACA
Oreochromis niloticus (Nile tilapia) is the source of this 2980-nucleotide long non-coding RNA. The record is from Ensembl. Lineage: Eukaryota; Metazoa; Chordata; Actinopteri; Cichliformes; Cichlidae.